Meleagris gallopavo (turkey) is the source of this 2017-nucleotide non-coding RNA. NCBI's taxonomy places the organism in Eukaryota, Metazoa, Chordata, Aves, Galliformes, Phasianidae. The record is from RefSeq and is a predicted model, not a curated record.
CUAAUUUAUUAUUUGCCUUGCAAAUGUUUAUCUGCAGGGAGAUGAAGUAAAUAUACUUCAGCUCUGACAAGCACCAUGGCCACUCUUGCCCUGCCUGAUGGAACGGUCAGUCGAUGCUGUCCCUGAGGAGCCAUGCCCUGCCUUAGGUUUCCCAGACAGUCCUCUGAAAGAGAACUUCUGGGAGGAAUGGCAAGAAAAAUCAGUAAAGAGGAGGAUGCAGUUGAUUGGAGAUAAGUCAGAUGUGUUUUGCACUUUAUCCUCUGGUGUAUAUGCCAAUGCAGACAAUGUCCCAUCACUGUAAUUGUCACUCAGCUGUCUGUCAGUGAUGAGAAGAAAAGGGUGACAGCCUUGACAUCCCACCAAUCAUCCCUCUGGAAAAUUGAUAUCGUCCUCCCCAGUAAACAACAGCUAAAGAAUCGACCAGCCUUGCCUGCACAUCCCUGAACAAUCAGCUUCCAUUAAGGGCAGAAGCCACACAUUUAUCCCACCGUACUCCAAUCAAUAGUACACUGACUUGUUCUAUGUUCAAGCAUGCCACUGCUCAAGGUCUGCAUUUAGCACAAGCUACCUUUCAAGUCUUUCAAACUUAAAUGUACAAUGGAGCUUUUGGGGGUAAAGUCCUCUACUUUCAUGUAAAAUAUCUUAUUCUUGCUAAUUUGGCAUACUUAAAUUUCCAGGAAGUCUAGCAGAUUUGUUUUCUUAAUUAAAUUUUACUUUCUUUAGCAGUAAACUAAAAUCUACAAAAAUAAUAAAAUAAUAAUUGAGAAGCAUUGGUUUAUCAGUUGCAGUUAUACACACACACACACACGUUUUAGAGAAAUUUACACAUGUAGUAUAAAAACUGACCUUAUUUAAAAUUAUCUUUGUGUAGUUACAUACUGAAAAUAUUGUCUGGCAAUCAGAACAGUUUGUUAGAUGUGAGGUCCCCAGCUGUUUAUACAUCAAUUAGUAACUCACAAACUUAGGUUACAUUAGACAGUUAGAUUGGUAAUGCAAUAAAAUCACUGCAAGGUGGUACACACACAAUCUUUCAAGUUAAGCAAACUAGUUAUUUACAUAAAUAUAGAAUUUGUCUCUGCAGGAAAAGCAAAACACAGGCCAGCAGGCUCACUUCACAACUUAAAAGAAAAAACAUCAGAAAUGCUGCAAAUCUGUAACUGCAGUUGCACAUUAGUACUUCACUGUUACUUACUUGACAUGAGGUGCUAAGUCAGCAGCUGCUGUUGUUAUCACUCAAACAUAUUUCCUGUAGAUUAUUUAGAAAUCAACUGGGGCCUUUACAGCACCAAAUCUCCUACACAGAUCACAGUAGGCAUGGCUACCCUACUCACAGAUUUAACAUUUUUAAUGCUAGAGGCUUUUCAUUUCCAAUUUUGUAUCCUGACCCUCACUUGUAACCUUGAGGCUCUUCAUCAGCACACGCCCCGGUGACACUGUGGCAAUGCCUCUUCCACUGUCCCAACUGCUCUUCUGCUUGCAGCCUUACUCUGAUGGGAACAAACUACUGCUGUAGUAGUUUCUUGUAGCAAACGAUUUGCUAAUGCAUGAAUCACUCUUUGCCUCAUGCCUUCCAACCCAUAAGUCCAGGAUAAGAUCUUUUUCCUCCCCUUUCUGUAUUAUAGCUUAGAACUUCAGCACUCUACGGAUAACAUAACAGAGGUCAAUCAAAUACAAUUCCAGUAGGCAUGUUCCUAUAAUAUUCAUGCACACAAAGCUUGGCCAUCAACCAAUGUGCAAGACUUGUGCCUGAUCACACAUGGUCUCACAAGUGUUUACUGUACUGUAAGACAGAACAUGCAGUCAGGAGUUUGGCCAGGCUCUGAUAAUACUAUGUCCUAUAGCAAAAGUGUCUGGACUGCAUGGACGAGGACACUUCCAGGAAUGUUCUUCAUUUUUCUUUCCAGCUGACUACCAAUGACAGGUCUUUUGUCCCUCUCUGUACUCUUUUUUCCUUGUUUUUGUUUUCCAGUCAAUGUAACUUUGAAGAUGAUAUAUACCAUCAGCUAUGGACCCCACU